AUUGGACGCUGGCGGCAUGCUUUACACAUGCAAGUCGAACGGCAGCACGGGUGCUUGCACCUGGUGGCGAGUGGCGAACGGGUGAGUAAUGCAUCGGAACGUGCCCAUGAGUGGGGGAUAGCCCGGCGAAAGCCGGAUUAAUACCGCAUACGCCCUUAGGGGGAAAGCGGGGGAUCUUCGGACCUCGCGCUAUUGGAGCGGCCGAUGUCGGAUUAGCUAGUAGGUGAGGUAAAGGCUCACCUAGGCGACGAUCCGUAGCUGGUCUGAGAGGAUGAUCAGCCACACUGGGACUGAGACACGGCCCAGACUCCUACGGGAGGCAGCAGUGGGGAAUUUUGGACAAUGGGGCGCAAGCCUGAUCCAGCCAUGCCGCGUGAGUGAAGAAGGCCUUCGGUUGUAAGAC
This 403-nucleotide ribosomal RNA is filed under the name uncultured bacterium. Its description in RNAcentral is "bacterial SSU rRNA". It matches the Rfam family "Bacterial small subunit ribosomal RNA", at positions 28 to 431 of the family's 1533-position model. The record is from RNAcentral.